CAACAGCCAUUUCAAGCUGUCAAUGAUG
This 28-nucleotide non-coding RNA is filed under the name Mus musculus (house mouse). Lineage: Eukaryota; Metazoa; Chordata; Mammalia; Rodentia; Muridae. The record is from RNAcentral.